CAAAUACAGCCUUGGACUGGCUUGGAUGGAUGGAAUACAACGCGAGUGACAUCUGAGACUCGUGAACCUGGGCCUUCAGAGGCCUGAUGCUUGUACUUCGAGACACUUGGAACCUAGCCACCACACCAGAAAGCUGAAGCCACAUGGGGAAGCCACAAGGGGUGCAACAGAGGCACCGCCAGGGAAAGUCGCCACCCUCUCCCAGCCAGCAGCAACUGCCACCUCCGUGGGGAGUGGGCUUCCAUCAACCCAGAGCAAGGUGACAAAGACAGCCUUGGA
Ochotona curzoniae (black-lipped pika) is the source of this 279-nucleotide long non-coding RNA. RefSeq lists it as uncharacterized. The record is from RefSeq and is a predicted model, not a curated record. Lineage: Eukaryota; Metazoa; Chordata; Mammalia; Lagomorpha; Ochotonidae. The transcript is spliced from 3 exons.